Paramuricea clavata is the source of this 723-nucleotide non-coding RNA. The record is from the annotation of a GenBank genome assembly. Lineage: Eukaryota; Metazoa; Cnidaria; Anthozoa; Malacalcyonacea; Plexauridae.
AGCUUCUGCAAAUAUUCCAGGGAAAAUUCUGGACACAUUGGAUGGUGAUGGGAAUGGCUUUGAUCAUCGUCAAAAUGUUGGCUCCAACACCAGGGCACUUUGUGUAAACAGAAAAUUGAUCAAAAUGUAUUCCUAUUAAAACAAGAAUUCUGAUUUACAAGAUUGUAUGGAUAUAGUACAUCUAAUGCAAUGGGAUGGAAUCUGCCAUGUAUUAAAUUACUGUACUUGUUUCCAAUCUACCAUAUGGAUGUGAGGAACAUUGUAUGUCAUGAUAUUACAAACUUGUAUAUGUACAGCAACUUAACAAGUUAUUGGACAAAAAUGAUGGCCAACAAUAGACACUAUGAGCACUGAAUGAAUACGAUAAUCUACAUAUUGGGCAGAAAACAAUGGUAACACUUGUUUACCAAAUGAACACAAACAAAAGGCCGUCAUUACUUGCAACGAACUUAAUCAUACCAUGUUAAAAGACAUCUAUCCUCCUCCGCAGGCCAUACAGCCCGUAAUGAGUAUGCCCGUUCACAGGUUGAAAUUUGAGACGAAGGCUUUUUUGUUUCCCACCAAUUUUCUUUUCUUGAAAGGCCUGCAGAGGAGGUAGGAGUAGGACAUCUAUUUGUUCUUCCUAAUUACUUUCUUCCUAAUUAUGUUCUGCCUAAUUAUUUUCAUAAGUGGAGACUAAUUAAGUGAUGAUUUUUAUUGACAUUGUAUAAAUAUAAAAUUCCG